CGUAGGGUGCGAGCGUUAAUCGGAAUUACUGGGCGUAAAGCGUGCGCAGGCGGUUGGCAAAGUCAGCUGUGAAAGCCCCGGGCUUAACCUGGGAAUGGCGGUUGAAACUAGUCGACUCGAAUCUGGCAGAGGGGGGUGGAAUUCCACGUGUAGCAGUGAAAUGCGUAGAGAUGUGGAGGAACACCGAUGGCGAAGGCAGCCCCCUGGGCUGAGAUUGACGCUCAGGCACGAAAGCGUGGGGAGCAAACAGGAUUAGAUACCCUGGUAGUCCACGCCCUAAACGAUGUCAACUAGGUGUUGGAGGAGCAAUCCUUUGGUACCGCAGCUAACGCGUGAAGUUGACCGCCUGGGGAGUACGGUCGCAAGAUUA
This 370-nucleotide ribosomal RNA is filed under the name uncultured organism. RNAcentral's name for it is "bacterial SSU rRNA". It matches the Rfam family "Bacterial small subunit ribosomal RNA", at positions 526 to 896 of the family's 1533-position model. The record is from RNAcentral.